This 440-nucleotide ribosomal RNA is filed under the name uncultured bacterium. Its description in RNAcentral is "partial 16S ribosomal RNA". It matches the Rfam family "Bacterial small subunit ribosomal RNA", at positions 338 to 795 of the family's 1533-position model. The record is from RNAcentral.
CCUACGGGAGGCAGCAGUGGGGGAUAUUGCACAAUGGGGGGAACCCUGAUGCAGCGACGCCGCGUGGGUGAAGGAGCGUUUCGGCGCGUAAAGCUCUAUCUGCAAGGGAGAAGAUGACGGUACCUGACCACGAAGCCCCGGCUAACUACGUGCCAGCAUCCGCGGUAAUAAGUAGGGGGCAAGCGGUAUCCGGAUUUACUGGGUGUAAAGGGGGCUCAGACGGGAAUGAAAGCCAGGAGUGAAAGCCCUGGGCCCAACCCCCGGACUGCUCGUGAAACUGCUUGGCUGGAGUACAGGAGGGGCAUGCGGAAUUCCUAGUGGAGCGGUGAAAUGCGUAGAUAUUAGGAAGAACACCGGUGGCGAAGGCAGCAUGCUGGACUGUGACUGACGUUGAGGCCCGAAGGCGUGGGGAGCAAACAGGAGUAGAUACCCGUGUAGUC